This is a long non-coding RNA of Eucalyptus grandis, 1480 nucleotides long. RefSeq lists it as uncharacterized. Lineage: Eukaryota; Viridiplantae; Streptophyta; Magnoliopsida; Myrtales; Myrtaceae. The transcript is spliced from 2 exons. The record is from RefSeq and is a predicted model, not a curated record.
GAGGAGGAGGAGGAGGAGGAGGCUUGGCCGUCGGAUUCAGAAAUCGAGACCGCGUUGGAAUGGUUGGACUUGAAAGACGGCGGAGAAGCAGGGGACGGAGCCUUCGCUCCCGAUUCCCGACGCCGGAACGCUCAUGGGAGGGCUUCACACGCGUGCCCAGUCGUCCAUGCUCCAACCCCUGUCCAAUCGGAGCCAAAAAACUCUCCACUCGUAUCCGCACUUCCCCUUUGGAGGAGAGGAAGUGAAGGGUGAAGCAUGAAUGUUGGCAUUUUCACCACAGUGACAGCUUCAAUUUGAGAAAGUGCGCGGGGAUAUGGCAAUUGGUAAAAUUAAAAGUAAUGAGAAGGCUGACUGUGCAACUGUCAAGCAGCUAAAGUACAUUUUUGGGAAAAAGAUUGAUAAGUUGAAUGCUAAAUGUCUGGUAAAAUAUUUCCACUUAAAGUCUCCAUGCUGCAGUUGUAACAACUGCCACAAUAAGGUCUCUUUAUACUAAGAGUAAUCUGCUGCUUGAUCAUCUCAAGACAUUAUGUCCCCUGUAGAUGUAUGUCCAUUUUGAAGAUCUAUUAGAAUUUUCGUCAAUUUCUUCAUUGGCCUCCUUCCUCUUGCUUUGCACCUCUAUCCCAGGGUCAAAUCUUUUGUAUUUGGCAUGAAGCAUCAUUGGUAUUGAUUUUCCAAAUUUGUCAUGCUUCAUGGAUAUACGAUAACAAAUAUAGUUACUUUUAUUUAAUCAUCAAAAGUUAUGAAGUUGAAACGAACCCUAUUGCAAGCUUAAUCUGUCUCUUUCCUAAAUCAUUAUUUGAGCUUGACGUGAUCAUGGCCGGGUAAACAGUCUGAUGGGUGUAUGCAUUGGUUCAUGUCCCCUCUUGUAAUUAUGUCCCAGAAGAUAGAUCACUUCUAAAAGUUAUUACAGUUAUAGUGACCCAACCCGACUUCUAAAAGUUAUGAAGCUAUGGCAGCAUCUCAUAUAAGUUAUCACGGAAUUGUUUAUACGGUUGUGCAGGCCAUUGAUUAGAGGACUCGGAUGUUUCUCUUCAAGAUGUCAACCGUCAAUUAUUUAAUGAUAUAAAUGGUUGCAUCUACACUGGCAAAGAAGUGUGUUAUCAUCUACAGUGAGCAGUACUCGCUGCUUUCUUUUUUCUAUCAAUUGAAUGUGGGCAGAACUUCAUCACAUCAUUGUUAUAAUUUCACGAAUUUACUUGUGAUUUGUUCAUAUUUUUGCCAGUAGAGUGCAUGGUCUUUUGACCCUAUUGUCACUCUGACUUUUGUAAAUGUCUAUCAUGCAUAAAAAUCUGACAGGCAAGAACUGGCAAUCAAAGUUUACAAGACUUCAGUGCUCGUGCUCAAGUAGGUGUGAUAGUCUUAAGUUGUUUGCAAGGCCUCUCCACAGGUGUUUGAAAGUGCAGUACUGCAUUUACUACAUUUUUGUGAAUUUAUUCUUUCUAGAUUAAUGAUUAAUAUACAGGUUCUGUUUUUUCUGAUA